CUUUUAAAGGAAACAAGCUAUCCAUUGGCCCUAGGAGCC
RNAcentral lists this transfer RNA (39 nucleotides) under Proctoporus xestus (river teiid). RNAcentral describes it as "partial tRNA-Leu". The record is from RNAcentral. Lineage: Eukaryota; Metazoa; Chordata; Lepidosauria; Squamata; Gymnophthalmidae.